GUGAGAGAAAUGCCCUCAGACGGACGAUUUUAAUCACAAUGUUCAUCAAUUUGUCUGUUCGUGUUUAGACUGAACAAUAAUAAACUGGGGGAUUCAGGAGUGAAACUGGUGUCUGCGGCUCUGAGGAACCCGGAGUGUAAAAUACAGAGACUGUGGCUGGGGGAUGUCGGUCUCACAGAUUCUGGUGCCGAGGAUCUCGUCUCCGCUCUCAGUACAAACCCAUCACUGACGGAUCUGAACCUGAGUGUUAAUGAACUGGGAGAUUCAGGAGUGAAACUGGUGUCUGCGGCUCUGAGGAACCCGGAGUGUAAAAUACAGAGACUGUGGCUGAGGGAUGUCGGUCUCACAGAUUCUGGUGCCGAGGAUCUCGUCUCCGCUCUCAGUACAAACCCAUCACUGACGGAUCUGGACCUGAGUGGUAAUAAACUG
This is a long non-coding RNA of Hypanus sabinus (Atlantic stingray), 429 nucleotides long. RefSeq lists it as uncharacterized. The transcript has 3 exons. Lineage: Eukaryota; Metazoa; Chordata; Chondrichthyes; Myliobatiformes; Dasyatidae. The record is from RefSeq and is a predicted model, not a curated record.